Prunus dulcis (almond) is the source of this 3060-nucleotide long non-coding RNA. RefSeq lists it as uncharacterized. The transcript is spliced from 2 exons. Lineage: Eukaryota; Viridiplantae; Streptophyta; Magnoliopsida; Rosales; Rosaceae. The record is from RefSeq and is a predicted model, not a curated record.
CCUAAAAGGUAGUCAACGCCAGUCCAAAAAAUUUCACGCUCUCUCUCUCUCUCAAACUCUCGCACUGGAUUCCAUCUCCCUCUCAAUUUUUUCAAUCCCUCUCAAACUCUCGCCCUAACUUCCGUAUCCGUCUCACUUUUUUCAGUCCCCUCUCCCUCUCAUUUUUUUUUCCAGUCCCUCUCAAACUCUCUCUUUCUUCUCUCUCCUCCAUCAUUGCCUCUUUCUCUCUCAGACUCUCCGACCAAGGUCGGCUAUUCCGCCAGGGCUAAAGCCCAGCCAUCCCUGCCCUCCCUGAGUUGCGGCGAGCUUCGAAAGGUUCAAGAGGUUUUUGACUUUCAGUCGCUAUUUCCGGCGACUCCGGCCACUGUUUUCGUCGAGUGAGUAUGAAGAACAUGGGGAAAAGUUUGUGGACAUGUUGGAUGGUAUGUUAUCCUUUGUCCUCCUUGACAUGAGAGACAACAGUUAUAUUGCUGCUUGAGAUGCAAUUGGUAUCACCCCACUUUACAUGGACUGGGUGUCACGCCCCAGACCCGGGGAUCGGUGGAAACCCCACGCCCGGUGCGUAAGAAAAAAAAAAGUAAAAUAAAAAAUAAAAAGAAGCCGAAAUAUGGGUUUAAAAUAAACUUCUCUUAUAAAAAUAGAUCCAAAAUCUUACAACUUUACAAGAAAUAAAUAAAGCUUUAUCACUCUCAUCUAAUUCAGCCUCAACCGGUUUAGUCCUUGUCUUACCCACUAAUUCAUCUGAAAAAUUAAACAGGUUGAUGGAUGUAACCAACCACGUGACCCCUAGUUUCAAAAUAUGAGAAACUCUUGGAGCUUGGUUUGAGUGAUAGUAUAUGAAGAUAGGUAGAUGGGUUGUCUUGCCAAUUUAUUUUAAGGGCUCUCAUUAUCGAGGUGAGUGGUUUAUGUAAUGUGUUCGAAAAGUUCUUAUUUUGUGAUAAAAUACCAUGAAUUAUCGUAGAUUUGUUCUAUUUACGAAUAUCUCUUUAUUUCAAGUCAAGCAUGUCUAAUUUGUGCAAUCUUUCACACUAUAUAUAUUGAUUGGAAUAUUUAUGAAGUAUGUAUUAUUCAUGGAACAUGAGAACUUCAAUGUUGGAGUAUCCGAGGGAUAGAUGUACCACACAGGGACAUAGGGUAGUGAGGCCAAUAGGGGUCACGUGGUUGUUUACAUGUUAUGAAGGAUAAUCGAGAUAUGAAGGGAUGAUGUGAUAUGAUAUGGAUUGGUGUAUCUUUUCAUGAUAUUUUCUAGAGUGUGUAAACCGAUUGAGGCUAGUUAUGCUCCUAUUUAUAGUGGUUAUAGGGAUAGGAUAAACUUCAAUAUUAAAAGGAUAAGAACAUCCAAAUUUAUCCAAAAGAUAAAUAUCUUAAAAAGAUAAUAUCGUCCAAAUUUAUCUAAAAGAUAAAUAUCUUCUUUUAUCCGUUUAAAAUAUGAGUCUUCACUGGGGUCUUGAUGGUAUGGACUAUGUCAGUUUCAAAAAGAAAAGAAAAAUUAACUUUAAUGUUUAGUCUACCCAAAUUUGCUUUGACUAUUACUUUGAUUUUUCAUUCCUCUUGUUGAAAAUAAAAAAGCUUUGAUUCUCAAAGCAAACACAAAUAAGCUUUGAUUUACCAAAAUUGACUGUACGCGACCAAAAAACUGUUAUUUGCUUGACUGUUGCUUUAUAUUUCUCUUUGCACUAGUAAAAGACUUUCUGUUUUUAAUGUUAUAUUGUGUUUUCAGUAACAGUCCACAUUUAAGCCUUCAUCAUAUAAUGAGUACUCUACAGACAGACAUAUAAUGAGUACUGAUUUCUUUACAUGAUGAAUCUUUAACUGAUGAUUGUGAAAGAUUCAUAUCUUUUCCUCCUGGGCAUAUCUACUCUAGCAAGCAAGGUAUGAAUAUGCUGACCUCUUGUUAGCAUUAAGGAUUUCUAUUUAUGAAAUUAAGAAAGUAAUGGCUUUGUUAGUCAUCAACGUUUUGAUAAAAAUCAAGUGAAAUUUGAAUACAGCUUCCUCUUGUAAUGUAUUUUUUUCCAUUUAAAAAAGAAAAAAAAAAGAGAGGAGAAGAAAUGAUUCUAUUAUACUUCAGCAACUGAAGGUAUUUUGAAAAAUAACCAAAGAUUUUGACAUAUCUUUAUCUUUAUUGUUUCUUUUUGUAUAUUCAUUUUGGAUAAGUAAUUACCUUCAAAAGGUUAAGAACUUGUAAACUUUUGGGUAAGUAAUUAUCUUCAAAAUUUGAGAACUUAUAAACUAAGUGUUGUCUUUUUAUAUUCAUGUAACUAGAAUUUAAAAAUCAUCACGAUGUUGUAUCCACUGUAAUUUUAUUUAUCCACAAACUUAUGUCUUCAGGAGGGCUUAGAAGGUGGUACAACCCGCCGUGGUUUUCAUAAUGGAAUCUUUGAACUUAUUGCUCUUUAUGCAUUUUUAGGGCAUGCUUGGUCUAUAAAUUGUUUCGGGAGCCAUGAAUGUGAAUUUUUAAGAGGACUUUCUUGAAUGGAAAAAGGGUUGAAAAAAAUAAAAUUUGCAUCUGCUAUGUCUCUUUAUAUCUAAAUGCAGACUGUAAUUCUUCUUAUUAUGUUUUUCUUCAUUUUGUUCUCACUUGAUAUGCUGAGGUCUGGUUGCAUAUGGUUCACCAUUGACUCUUAUCUUACUCUUAACAAAAAAAUUGAUUCUUGCUUAUGAAUUCUGUUUUUGCAAAUUUUCAAUCUCUGUAUCAUAAGACAAUAAUAUAUAUAUGGUACAUGGCUUAUUUCUUUAAGAGUUUAAUUUCAUCUAUAAGAAAAUAAUAUACUUGAAAUAUUUUAUUUAUCUGAACGUCAAUUCAAUUUACAGGAAAUUCAAAAUAGGAUAUGUAAAUUUAGUACCUUGCACUUUUUAAGCUUAUGUUCAUAUAGAGCUAGACGGAAGGACACGUAUACCCAAAUGGAAUUGGAUGAGGUGCGAGAAGGUACCCAUUUUUUUAUUUUUUCUUUCUCUUCAAUUCCUGGUUGUUUGUACUUUCUGAGAAGGUAUCCAAACAAAAUGAAUGUAUGAAAUGAUCUCAUAUGAAACAAAGAGAACUCCAUUAAUUUGAAUUUGAAA